UACGAAGGGGGCUAGCGUUGCUCGGAAUCACUGGGCGUAAAGGGUGCGUAGGCGGGUCUUUAAGUCAGGGGGGAAAUCCUGGAGCUCAACUCCAGAACUGCCUUUGAUACUGAAGAUCUUGAGUUCGGGAGAGAUGAGUGGAACUGCGAGUGUAGAGGUGAAAUUCGUAGAUAUUCGGAGGAACACCAGUGGCGAAGGCGGCUCACUGGUCCAUUACUGACGCUGAGGUGCGAAAGCGUGGGGAGCAAACAGG
RNAcentral lists this ribosomal RNA (253 nucleotides) under uncultured bacterium. RNAcentral's name for it is "partial 16S ribosomal RNA". It matches the Rfam family "Bacterial small subunit ribosomal RNA", at positions 524 to 776 of the family's 1533-position model. The record is from RNAcentral.